CGCCUCAAGAUGAGAUUUCCCAGUACGUAAGACCCCUGGAAGAACACCAGGUUGAUAGGCUCGAGGUGUAAGCACGGCAACGUGUGCAGCUGACGGGUACUAAUCGGUCGAGGGCUUAUCCUA
This 123-nucleotide ribosomal RNA is filed under the name Cohnella thailandensis. Its description in RNAcentral is "partial 23S ribosomal RNA". It matches the Rfam family "Bacterial large subunit ribosomal RNA", at positions 2795 to 2925 of the family's 2925-position model. Lineage: Bacteria; Bacillati; Bacillota; Bacilli; Caryophanales; Paenibacillaceae. The record is from RNAcentral.